GAUCCUGGCUCAGGAUGAACGCUAGCGACAGGCUUAACACAUGCAAGUCGAGGGGCAGCAUGAGGUAGCAAUACCUCGAUGGCGACCGGCGCACGGGUGAGUAACGCGUAUCCAACCUGCCUUACACUCUUGGACAGCCUUCUGAAAGGGAGAUUAAUACAAGAUGUUAUCAUGAGUAAGCAUUUUCGCAUGAUUAAAGGUUUACCGGUGUAAGAUGGGGAUGCGUUCCAUUAG
This 234-nucleotide ribosomal RNA is filed under the name uncultured bacterium. Its description in RNAcentral is "partial 16S ribosomal RNA". It matches the Rfam family "Bacterial small subunit ribosomal RNA", at positions 15 to 244 of the family's 1533-position model. The record is from RNAcentral.